GCCACGCAGAGCAGCAGGGAGCGCCCACGCCGCCUUUUCUGCUGGAAAAUCAGCGCCUCCACCUGCGGGAUCGAACGCAAAGUUAAAAUCUCCCCCCCUCGUACAAUCUUCAACUUCUGGAAGCGCAAAAAGUGGGGACUGCUGACAAGCAGCAUGGGCAGGAGGUGCCCGCAGCCAGCAGCACUCAUGCACCCCCACGCAGACAGUGGGUGAAGCACCUGCUGGGCACCGCCACCCUCAGAGCAGAAAGACAUGUCUUUAUUGAACGCAACGUGAGCUAGACAGCAAGGAAACUUUGACAAAAAACCCACCGAGUAGAAAAGAAACCGCUGCGGCCUACACUAACAGCCUUAUGAUAUGCCAACGUCCAACGCUUCCAUGCUGCAGCCGCUGCCAGCUGCCCCGCGCUCCCACAGCGGCGCUCCGAGGGCGGGCAGUGCUGCAGCCCUGUGCCCCACGUGCUGUCCCAGCCCCCCGCUGUGUGUCGGCGUGGUGCGGGGCGGGCAGCCCACAGAGCGCUGGAGCCGGCUGCUGCUCAUCGAGGACUUCCAUAUCGUGAUGCUUUGUUUGGUAAUUUUGCAAAAAAGUCUAAAUAUGUUUUUAAAAAACCCUAAAGAGACUCUGGACUAAACAAGAUGAAGGUUAAAACUAAAAAGUUAGGAGGGACGCCGUUUACAUUAACACUUUCUUUAAAAAAUAGAAUUGCUUUCUCGUUGUUCUUGAAGUCAGCUGGCCACAGUGGUGAGACGCGCUCCUUCCAGCGGCACGGAGCGGUGCCACGUCCUGAUCCCGCCGGCCGUCGCUGCUGGAACCGCGGCACCGGAGGGAUGGAGCCGCGCCGCAUCCCCAUGGCAUAGAAAGGAGUUGUGUCACCACUGUGCAAGGACGGGCGCUGACCAGGUCCCACGGUCACGCCGCUCUGGGGUUGGGAAGCCUUCUGUGUCCCGACAGGACAGUCCAUAGGGAGCUGCGAGCAGGAUCAGUCCGGGAUCGCGCUCCACAUCAGUCAAUGUACUGCGACAGCCAGCGGAAGCCCUCACCGUAGCCUUGCCUCUUCAGCACGCUGCACAUGAACACCUCCAUGGGGCGCGCGUUCAGGUCCUUCAGUGGCACAUUUCCCUUCCCCGUGGUCUGUCCGUAAAGCCCGAAGAUCUCCCGCAGUUUCUCCUCACUGAUGGCCUCGGGUCUGUCGAUUUUGUUGCCCAAGAUAAGGAUUGGCACAUUGGAUAUUGUUUCAUCUGUCAUUAGCGCGUUAAGCUCAACUUUGGAUUCCAUGAGCCGGGAGUGAUCUGCACAGUCCACCAGGAAGACGAUCCCAUUGAUGGCGGGCAGGUAGUUCUUCCACACCCGGCGGGCUUGCUCGUGGCCACCCAGAUCAAAAGUGGUGAAGGUCAUUCCAGCAAUUGUCAGCUCCUCUGAGGUGGGAUGCAGUGUGGGGACGUGCUGGCCCAGCCGGUCGUCCUUAAGCAUGUGCAGCAGUGUGGUUUUGCCCGCAUUAUCCAGGCCCAGGAAGACGAGUUUUCCAGACUUCUUGUAGAGCCCCAGGAACUGCAGCACGCUGCUGAAGCCGUUGUAGAUCCACUCGAAGAUGAAAGACAUCGCUGACGAUCGAGCGCCUCCGGCCGCGGCGACCCCGCUCCCGUUCCGCCGCCAGCUCCCCGCCGGAAGUGCGUCGCUCCUGCGCCACGCCCGCUUCCGGUCCGCCGCGCUGGCUCCCACGUCGGCCCUGCGGCGGUACGUCACGGCGCGCCGCCACCAUGCCCCGAGCAGAGCCCGCCCACCCGGCGGUACAACCGCGGGUUCGAAUCCCGCGAGCGGCAGCGGAACGAGCUUAAGGAUCCCUCAGCG
This 1848-nucleotide long non-coding RNA is filed under the name Gallus gallus (chicken). The record is from RNAcentral. Lineage: Eukaryota; Metazoa; Chordata; Aves; Galliformes; Phasianidae.